GACGAACGCUGGCGGCGUGCUUAACACAUGCAAGUCGAACGGAAAGGCCUGCUUUCCCUUGUGGAUUGCGGGUACUCGAGUGGCGAACGGGUGAGUAACACGUGAGUGAUCUGCCCCCAACUUGGGUAUAAGCCUGGGAAACUGGGUCUAAUUCCCGAUAGGACUGCAGGGUGGUGCCUGUGGUGGAAAACGAUUUUCUAGUGGUUGGGGAUGAGCUCGCGGCCUAUCAGCUUGUUGGUGGGGUAAUGGCCUACCAAGGCGGCGACGGGUAGCCGGCCUGAGAGGGUGGACGGCCACAUUGGGACUGAGAUACGGCCCGGACUCCUACGGGAGGCAGCAGUGGGGAAUAUUGCACAAUGGGCGGAAGCCUGACGCAGCGACGCCGCGUGGGGGAUGACGGCCUUCGGGUUGUAAACUCCUUUCGACCGCGAGGAAGCCACCUGGUUGGAAGGGUGGUGACGGUAGUGGUAGAAGAAGCACCGGCUAACUACGUG
This 494-nucleotide ribosomal RNA is filed under the name uncultured bacterium. RNAcentral describes it as "partial 16S ribosomal RNA". It matches the Rfam family "Bacterial small subunit ribosomal RNA", at positions 28 to 507 of the family's 1533-position model. The record is from RNAcentral.